This 291-nucleotide ribosomal RNA is filed under the name uncultured bacterium. RNAcentral's name for it is "partial 16S ribosomal RNA". It matches the Rfam family "Bacterial small subunit ribosomal RNA", at positions 58 to 339 of the family's 1533-position model. The record is from RNAcentral.
CAAGUCGAGGGGCAGCAUUUUAGUUUGCUUGCAAACUGAAGAUGGCGACCGGCGCACGGGUGAGUAACACGUGUGCAACCAACCCCGUACCGGGAGAUAACCCGCGGAAACGUGGACUAACAUCCCAUGAUACUCGAGAGCCGCAUGGCUCUAGAUUUAAAAUUCCGGUGGUACGGGACGGGCACGCGCGACAUUAGGUAGUUGGCGGGGUAAGGGCCCACCAAGCCGACGAUGUCUAGGGGUUCUGAGAGGAAGGUCCCCACACUGGAACUGAGACACGGUCCAGACUCC